GAGUGUCCAGCCUCCCAGCCCACUUUGUAGGAGGAAGACUUACCAUGGGUGGGUUGGGGUGCUGAGGAAGGAUGCUACCCAUCUAGCAGAGAGUCCAGGGUCAAAGAACAGUUCUUCUUACCAUAUUCUUAUAUGUCUCCUCCCUCAUCUCCCUCCCGCCAGACCCCCUAGUUCUGUCUAUACCUUACAUGUGGCACCAUCUUUGUAAAGGUCAACUCUGACCAUGACCUUCCCCUUUUAAGCCAGAAUAGUGGCCCAGCUCCUCAGCCUGGUCUUUGAGCUCUUUUAUAUGAGUUCCUCGGGCCCCUACACAUUCCAUGCCACCUAACGGUGCAUGCCAGCCACACACAACCUGUGUUUCCUUAACAGGCUAUACUCUUGCCUGCUGAGUCUCAGCACUUACAUCCUCUGCCUUCUGUGUCCUCUCACCUCUAUGUCCACCUGACAAACUCCUAAUCAUCUACCAAGUGCCAGUUCUUCUGGGAAGUUCUCCCUGAGCACCUCUGGCUGGCUGGGAGUUCCUCUGGGCUCCAUGGCCCCUUGAUUGUGUCUUCAUCACCCAGGUGGACUGGGUCCAUGUCAAUGUCUCUUCCCUAGCCAGAAUGGGCAUUCCUCAAGGGCCCUAUAGAGCAUGACAUGAGGCUGAGUUCACAGGAUCCCUGUAAAGCAGGGCACACAAG
RNAcentral lists this long non-coding RNA (680 nucleotides) under Marmota monax (woodchuck). The record is from RNAcentral. Lineage: Eukaryota; Metazoa; Chordata; Mammalia; Rodentia; Sciuridae.